This 1372-nucleotide ribosomal RNA is filed under the name uncultured bacterium. RNAcentral describes it as "bacterial SSU rRNA". It matches the Rfam family "Bacterial small subunit ribosomal RNA", at positions 28 to 1381 of the family's 1533-position model. The record is from RNAcentral.
GAUGAACGCUGGCGGCGUGCCUAAUACAUGCAAGUCGAGCGAACGGACGAGAAGCUUGCUUCUCUGAUGUUAGCGGCGGACGGGUGAGUAACACGUGGAUAACCUACCUAUAAGACUGGGAUAACUUCGGGAAACCGGAGCUAAUACCGGAUAAUAUUUUGAACCGCAUGGUUCAAAAGUGAAAGACGGUCUUGCUGUCACUUAUAGAUGGAUCCGCGCUGCAUUAGCUAGUUGGUAAGGUAACGGCUUACCAAGGCAACGAUGCAUAGCCGACCUGAGAGGGUGAUCGGCCACACUGGAACUGAGACACGGUCCAGACUCCUACGGGAGGCAGCAGUAGGGAAUCUUCCGCAAUGGGCGAAAGCCUGACGGAGCAACGCCGCGUGAGUGAUGAAGGUCUUCGGAUCGUAAAACUCUGUUAUUAGGGAAGAACAUAUGUGUAAGUAACUGUGCACAUCUUGACGGUACCUAACCAGAAAGCCACGGCUAACUACGUGCCAGCAGCCGCGGUAAUACGUAGGUGGCAAGCGUUAUCCGGAAUUAUUGGGCGUAAAGCGCGCGUAGGCGGUUUUUUAAGUCUGAUGUGAAAGCCCACGGCUCAACCGUGGAGGGUCAUUGGAAACUGGAAAACUUGAGUGCAGAAGAGGAAAGUGGAAUUCCAUGUGUAGCGGUGAAAUGCGCAGAGAUAUGGAGGAACACCAGUGGCGAAGGCGACUUUCUGGUCCGUAACUGACGCUGAUGUGCGAAAGCGUGGGGAUCAAACAGGAUUAGAUACCCUGGUAGUCCACGCCGUAAACGAUGAGUGCUAAGUGUUAGGGGGUUUCCGCCCCUUAGUGCUGCAGCUAACGCAUUAAGCACUCCGCCUGGGGAGUACGACCGCAAGGUUGAAACUCAAAGGAAUUGACGGGGACCCGCACAAGCGGUGGAGCAUGUGGUUUAAUUCGAAGCAACGCGAAGAACCUUACCAAAUCUUGACAUCCUUUGACAACUCUAGAGAUAGAGCCUUCCCCUUCGGGGGACAAAGUGACAGGUGGUGCAUGGUUGUCGUCAGCUCGUGUCGUGAGAUGUUGGGUUAAGUCCCGCAACGAGCGCAACCCUUAAGCUUAGUUGCCAUCAUUAAGUUGGGCACUCUAAGUUGACUGCCGGUGACAAACCGGAGGAAGGUGGGGAUGACGUCAAAUCAUCAUGCCCCUUAUGAUUUGGGCUACACACGUGCUACAAUGGACAAUACAAAGGGCAGCGAAACCGCGAGGUCAAGCAAAUCCCAUAAAGUUGUUCUCAGUUCGGAUUGUAGUCUGCAACUCGACUACAUGAAGCUGGAAUCGCUAGUAAUCGUAGAUCAGCAUGCUACGGUGAAUACGUUCCCGGGUCU